RNAcentral lists this unclassified non-coding RNA (257 nucleotides) under Hevea brasiliensis (rubber tree). The record is from RNAcentral. Lineage: Eukaryota; Viridiplantae; Streptophyta; Magnoliopsida; Malpighiales; Euphorbiaceae.
CCAUCUAUUCUUCCCUCUGAUCCAUAUGAUCGUGCUAUUGCAAAAUUUUGGGGCACCUAUGUCGAUGAGAAGGUAUAUUGCAAGAUUUUAUUGCAAGAUCUUGCUUCAGCAGCUCAUCCAAACAUGCAUUUAUUCUUCAUUUCUCUGCUUACAAUUGAACUAUUUUGAUUUUUUGCAGUGGUUUCCAAAUUUGAGAAUCCUUUUAACUGCUGAAGGAGAGGCAAAAGAUCAUGUUAUAGGGACAAUAGUUGAUGGGC